GUUACAUCUCUAUCAAGCCUGUGCCUUAUGCUGAGACUGUACUGUAACCCAUUAUAGAGUUUUCCAAAGCAAUGAACCAUCAGCUUGUCUUGUAUGCUGACUUUAGACAGACCGAGGGUGCCAUCUAGUGAGGCCUAGGAGAAACACUUUCAAAAGUAAGCCCAUGCUGUUCCACAUUCUUAGUAGGAUCAGAGAGGAAGAGGUGAAGUGAGAGGAUUUACUCUGCCCAAAAUCUCUCUGUGUGAGAAACCCUUUUUCGUAUGGAGGUCUAUUGUCUCAGAGGGCACCAGGCCUGGUAUGGCAGUGGGGAUGGUGGGGGCCAGAGACAGACUGGCCCUUUGACAUAAUCCACUACUCCAUCACUUCAGGAGAGGCCAUGUUCACUAUGGACCCUGAGGGAGGGGAGCUGUAUCUGGGUGGAGAGCUGGACUUUGAGCAGCAACAGGUGUAUGUAGUGGGGGUUCAGGCUGAGGACGAUGACCAGGGUGUGGACCGUACCAACGACAAGUGGAGUUGAUGAAUGGGCAAAGAGCUAAUGCACCCUUGUACAUGUAUCUAGUACAGUAUAACCGAAUACAUCCUUUCAGACAUG
This is a long non-coding RNA of Oncorhynchus tshawytscha (Chinook salmon), 592 nucleotides long. NCBI's taxonomy places the organism in Eukaryota, Metazoa, Chordata, Actinopteri, Salmoniformes, Salmonidae. The record is from Ensembl.